This 370-nucleotide long non-coding RNA is filed under the name Mytilus galloprovincialis (Mediterranean mussel). Lineage: Eukaryota; Metazoa; Mollusca; Bivalvia; Mytilida; Mytilidae. The record is from RNAcentral.
CCCUAUUGGAUAAUGCGAAUUAGCCAAUUCGAAUCAAUCCGAAUUAAAAAAAAAAAAAAAAAAAGAAGAGUGUGUGGACGCGAUUAUCGAAUUCAAUUCGCAUUUGAUUCGAAUUCAAUUCGAAUUAAAUGUACAUGUGAACGAGGCAACAUGUUGAUGGAGUUUACAUAAUAGAGAAUCAUGACUUGGGGGGAAAAGUGUGGAAUGAAGAGCAAAAUGUAAAAAGAAUUGAUAAAAUAGGCGGGAAAAAAUAGAAUAUAUACGGUGGGGAAAAAUAUAAAGAAUAGAUAAUAUUGCUCAAAAGUUAAAUAUAGAAUAUAAAUGGAAAACAAACGAUUAAAAAAAAUAAGCACACAGAAAUGAAUGACCC